Molecule: long non-coding RNA, 1851 nt
Organism: Hylaeus volcanicus
Lineage: Eukaryota; Metazoa; Arthropoda; Insecta; Hymenoptera; Colletidae
Exons: 7
Source: RefSeq, a predicted model, not a curated record
GGGCUGUUGUUAUCUGUUAGGAGAAGAAGAAUAAUAAUAAGGAAUAGUUUAGGGCUACUGAAUUUUGGGUAUAUUACAUAUAAAUUCACCGCCGAGGUACGCCAGCUAUAAUCGUGCAGAGUCCAGAGGUAUCGUCCAGUGGGUUGAGACACAAAGGUGUAAGCGAUCGUCGAACGCGUGACAGCCUGAGAAAGAUUACGCCGACGUUGAUUAAGAAGCGAACCGCGGAACCGCCGACGCGCAACCCCUUUUAUCGAAGCGAUCGAGGCUUCCCAGAGUGGGUUGUAGGUCGUAGGUAGCGAAUAGGUAAAGUUUUGUCCCGCCCAUCCUCGAAAAGGACUCUCCGACACCAUCCCCGUGGCGUAUUAUUAUUGUCGACCGCCGAUAUAAUUGGGAUUAGCUCCUGGAAAGCGUGCGUACCAAUCACCGCUGGACACUUUUCACGGCCAAUUUGCAUAUUUCGAUCCUAUCCGUCGGAUCGGAAGCGAAUUCGUUCGGUGUUAACGUUUAUUCCCGCAGUCGAGAGGGAUGAACCUUCAGGGGACGAUCGCUGGUGGAUAUUUUAUAUCGUAUUCGCUGUUGAAUAUUUUUGUACCGCGCCAAGGAAAUAGUUACGAGUUUUUCAAAAAAGAAAAAGAAAUCCGCAGUGUUCUCAUAAAACGAACGCAACGGAGAAUUUCGUUCCGGUGGAAACGUCGAUUCCUCGCGGAGUCGGUUAUCAGCGUUCCCGUUGAUUGGCAUCCAUGGCGAAAAUAAAAAGGAGAGACCGCUGGAAGUGUCGGCGAAGACAGACCCGUUUGAAAUAGUAACGAAGAAACCGAGAAACGGGAAAACGCGUUGGAAAAACCUGUGAAGCACGUUCGUGAACCGCACACUCCAGGGAGACCCCUGACCCGCCUGACCGUCGCUAUGGUGGUCCACGAGGCAAACAGGCUUUGAACCACCAAGCCUAUUUGGUACACGUGUCCUUGCACGCCGAAUCUCGACGAUCCUCCCCUGCGUAGGGCGAAGGAGCGGCCACAGGGCUCGCGACAAAAGGGCCCCGGCACGCGUGCUCACGUGCCAGUCGGUGGGACGACUUCGGCCCACUCGGUCCUCCUAUUGUUAUGAACAAUGAUUCUGCCGAAGUUCCAAGCGUUCUCUCAACUUUUACCUGAGUAGUAAAAAAGGAAACCAGAAGAGGAGAACAAUGAAGUACAGGAUUCCUGGAGUUUACCUUUCCCAAACCACAGAUCAAACAGAUCCGCGGCGCGGAAGGCGCCGCGGCCUCGCCGAAACGCGCCGUAUUUGACCAAUAAAUAAUUUAGCAAACAAAUUGAUCCCCAAGGACUAUAAACAGAUACUUAGGGGCACGCGACUACCUCGCUUGGAAAUCUACUGACCCACUGUCGACGUUCGCUGGCCAAUGGUUCCACUGGACAAUAAUUGAUCGGUCGAAUACGUGACCCCUACUGUGAGAACCGAGGCUACGGGCCCCGCGGCGUGAAAUCUCUAUUAUCGAGGGGUUGGAACGGUACCCCGUUGUUACCCGGCGCUCGUACGCGUAUCUGGACGAAACUGGUGCUGACAGGGUCCACCCUUGGUCUCGCUACCCUCGUCCCCUCGAAAAUAAUGUAAUCGCGAAUUAAAUGUUUGCUCGGAUAUCCGCGAUACGCUCGGUGGUCCUUCCAGAGGACCCGGGGAAUCUCGAUUACCGUUUCAGGGGGCAUUCUGAUUCGAAGAAUCAAUUUUUAAGGAUUUCUUGAAAUUUUUAACAUUUUAUAUUCAUAAGGAAGCUUUCUUUGUGCCUGUCGUUAUCUCACAAAGGUACAUUUAUGCGUUUUACAAUAGAAGCUUUUUAUUGAAAAUUAA